RNAcentral lists this ribosomal RNA (464 nucleotides) under Vreelandella stevensii. Its description in RNAcentral is "partial 16S ribosomal RNA". It matches the Rfam family "Bacterial small subunit ribosomal RNA", at positions 338 to 794 of the family's 1533-position model. Lineage: Bacteria; Pseudomonadati; Pseudomonadota; Gammaproteobacteria; Oceanospirillales; Halomonadaceae. The record is from RNAcentral.
CCUACGGGUGGCUGCAGUGGGGAAUAUUGGACAAUGGGCGAAAGCCUGAUCCAGCCAUGCCGCGUGUGUGAAGAAGGCCUUCGGGUUGUAAAGCACUUUCAGUGGGGAAGAAAGCCUUGGGGCUAAUACCCUCGAGGAAGGACAUCACCCACAGAAGAAGCACCGGCUAACUCCGUGCCAGCAGCCGCGGUAAUACGGAGGGUGCGAGCGUUAAUCGGAAUUACUGGGCGUAAAGCGCGCGUAGGCGGUCUGAUAAGCCGGUUGUGAAAGCCCCGGGCUCAACCUGGGAACGGCAUCCGGAACUGUCAGGCUAGAGUGCAGGAGAGGAAGGUAGAAUUCCCGGUGUAGCGGUGAAAUGCGUAGAGAUCGGGAGGAAUAACAGUGGCGAAGGCGGCCUUCUGGACUGACACUGACGCUGAGGUGCGAAAGCGUGGGUAGCAAACAGGAUUAGAUACCCUAGUAGU